GAUGAACGCUAGCGACAGGCUUAACACAUGCAAGUCGAGGGGCAGCAUGAGGUAGCAAUACCUUGAUGGCGACCGGCGCACGGGUGAGUAACGCGUAUGCAACCUGCCCGAUACCGGGGUAUAGCCCAUGGAAACGUGGAUUAACACCCCAUAGUACUUUUAUCCUGCAUGGGCUGUGAGUUAAAUGUUCAAGGUAUCGGAUGGGCAUGCGUCCUAUUAGUUAGUUGGCGGGGUAACAGCCCACCAAGACGAUGAUAGGUAGGGUUCUGAGAGGAAGGUCCCCCACAUUGGAACUGAGACACGGUCCAAACUCCUACGGGAGGCAGCAGUGAGGAAUAUUGGUCAAUGGACGUGAGUCUGAACCAGCCAAGUCGCGUGAGGGAAGACUGCCCUAUGGGUUGUAAACCUCUUUUAUAAGGGAAGAAUAAGUUCUACGUGUAGAAUGAUGCCUGUACCUUAUGAAUAAGCAUCGGCUAAUUCCGUGCCAGCAGCCGCAGUAA
Molecule: ribosomal RNA, 500 nt
Filed under: uncultured bacterium
Lineage: Bacteria
Description: partial 16S ribosomal RNA
Rfam family: Bacterial small subunit ribosomal RNA
Source: RNAcentral